This 26428-nucleotide long non-coding RNA is filed under the name Linum usitatissimum (flax). Its description in RNAcentral is "long non-coding RNA (LUSI_LNC005074)". The record is from RNAcentral. Lineage: Eukaryota; Viridiplantae; Streptophyta; Magnoliopsida; Malpighiales; Linaceae.
UCCGACCGAACUUAGCACGUAAUGAACGUUAUACCUUCUCUCGUAUUCCGAUAGCCAUGCCAUGUAAGCGGCCCCGAAAUACAUGGACAGAAAUGGUUUGGUCAUAUCAGCAGCCGAAUCGACUCUGUAUGCCCGGUAGCCCAACUCCCUGUAUGAAUUCACGCAUUAGAUUUGAGAAUGAUUCCAAUUCCUAUACUGUCAAUGACCAAAGGCCUAGUAAGUGUCCGUACGUGUAAAGCCAAAAGGCGGUAGAGUAGUCGAUGCCCAUUAUUCCAGUUCGAUGUCCGAUCCCAUUGAGGAAACGCAUACUAACCAUCUCAGCCAGCGCGCAGAGGACUGACUGUACAAGCCAAAGAUAACGAAGAUCAGUUCAUCCCGGCUUCGUUUCCCAAAAAUCUGUUUACAAACAUUUUGAGUGUUCACUUACUGGCCUAACUCCUCUGGUGCUGAAAUGCUUCGAGAGAAUUAUGCUUGCAACUGCCUGCACAAAGAAAUUUCACAACAAAUAUAAUGCAUACAUCCAUAGACAUAAUGUAGUACUCCUACUUGUGUUGCGACUUUAGAAAGAAGAGAGAGCUCGAAGUUCUUUUCGAUGUGUUAAACUUUACCUUGGUCUCUAUUUGGGACAAAUAUGGUCUGUGUUCCUUGUCAUGCGAGAAACGUACUUUUCCACGCCUUUCCCCUGAUUUCGUCCAUUCUCUAGCAACGUCAUGCUGAUUCCACAUCUCUGCCAUAUCCUCAGGAGAAGAUCUAGAGUCCCAGUGCAGAUGAUCACCGUCUGUUCUUUCAACACAAAACAACUACUGAAUAAGGUGGAAGAAAACUAAGAGCUACUAUUUUCAAACACAUUGUCAUAAAACACACAGUAACGAUGAAGCAAGGUUGGAAAUGUAGUAAAAAAGUAUAACCUGAGCUUUGUGAAGAAGAUGAAUGAGAAGCAGAUGCUGAUGGCCUAGGUGAAGUACAAUCAGUAUUUCCAGAGGUCCCUUCGUUUGAAAAUCGUCUUCAAAAACAAAGAGAGCAAUGAAAUCUGAGAAGUUUGAUGAAAAUCAAGUUUUUCUAUCACUAUAUUAGCUAGGGAGAGCAGCAAACAACCAACCACCUGGAAGGAAGACUUUCUUUAACUGAGAGGUACCGUUUCCAGUAUUGCAAAGUUGAUUUAUGUGUUGCCUUUUUGGUGCCACCAUGGUAAGCCCUAACAAUGAACUCUUCACUUCUUUCUCUGCAGCAGCAUUAACAUAAAUCAACAUUGCUGAGGAAUUGGAUGAGGAUACAAACAGCGGAAGGAACCAUAGGGAGAUUCAUCCAUCACAUGCUUACUUGUGCUCGAAGUUGGACAGCCAUUUCAAAUAUGCAGCACCGAAAUAUACACUCACAAAAGGCUUAUAGAGAAUGUCUGGAUUAUCUCCAAGUACGUAAAUCCGGUAGCCAAAAUCUCUAUAAACAGUCAAAGCGUUCUUAAUCAGUGCCAUAUACUGAAAAGAGAGACUGAAAAACCUAUUUGUAUGAUGGUAUACCUCUCCAACCACUGAGCAGUUUUUGGGAAAAUUUGCAUUAUUCCUACAGUGAUCUCCUUAGAUUUCUUAUGAAAGUGCCUAGAGAGAAGCUGCCUGUCGCUUGCAAGUUCAGCAAUAGCACAUAUCAUAUCCUGCAGAAACAUUAAGGAAUAUUACAGCAUUUGUGAGCACACAAUGAGAGCCGGAUGCCAGCCUGUUGAAAUUUCAUUUGAAUGAUUGCCGUACUGGAGAUAUCUGUGAACCGAAGUGCCUACGGACGAUGAUAUCAGCUACUGCCUGAAGGAACACGGCUCAAGAUUCAAGAACAUUAGAUUCUGGAAGAGAGCGAUGGCAGAAAAAAUCAUUAUCAGGUGAAGUUUGGUUCUGAGAGGGAUGGACCUUCAUCUCUGUUUGAGUUAAAUAGGUCUGGCCGUCGGGAUCACGUGAAAUGUGAAUUUUCUGACCGCGAGUCUCGCCGGCGUCCAGCCAUUCAGUGCUGACAGCAGGUUCCCUCCACAUCGCCUCCAAGUCAUUGGGAUCAACACAAUCAUCCCAGUACUUGAAGCUAACCGACAUUUUGCUGAUCCUAGAGAGCGUUACAAGUACCAGCCAUUUACUACAUCAAUCAAAAUUUCAAAAUCCAAACAGAAAAUAGCAACCAGAUCGUAACAAAAAUGAGAAUCCAUCAACGAAUUGGCAGGAACAACGAAUAACAGAUUGAUAUUAAAAAAUCAUGCGUACCCAAUUGAGAUUGCCUAGGAAGAAUUCGAAAAUGCGAUCCGUUAUCUCCUGAUGUCUCCUCUUGUCCGACGAGAAUUGGCUGGGUGGCGAUGACCUUUGGUUGAAUGAUAAAACGGAGGGAAGGGAGAAUGAAAUGGGAGCGGGAAAAGCGGAGGGUAGAGUGGAUUGAGAGGUGAAAAGAAUGAAGAAUGGAAGAGGCUGAGAGAAAAGACGGAAGGUGGACCGUUGUUGACGGGAGAUUAUUAACGUCUGGGACACUGGGCAGGCAGUUGCAGCUCCGGCCUGGUUCUCGCCGGCGUCUCCUUUGCCCCGUUGGUUCAUAUGGACGGACCAACUUGCUGCAGCGGGAAAAUGUGGGACCGGAAUAUUCAAAUAGGCUUUCAUUCAGCCUAUUACCUUUUGUUUAGGGGCCAACGAUGAUUUUUGUGUAAGGUUUGGAGUUUGGAUGGACCUUUUGAUUUUGCUAUUGCAACCCAUUUGACAGUACAGACUAUGAGUAAGUGAUAUGCUAAUAGCAAUGCUACAAUUGAUGAUCAAUGAUAGAAAUUAACAAGGCUAAUUAAUUAGAUAUUGAUUAUGAUGAUUCUGAUUAACCUAACAGUCUCGAGGCCUGGAAACUUCGGAGUCGAACUUGUUGUUGUUGAUGGCGCACCAAGCCAUAAAGAGCACAACCACCAUGAACACCACGAAGCAGAGAAGAGCCACUCCCGCCGCCCUGCAUUGCUUCCUCACUUCGCCCAGGAAACCGGUCUUGCAUCUCUCGCAGUUGUAUCACAUCUUCUUCGGGUCGGAGAUCCAUUUCCCGCACUCUCCGUUACCGGGAGCACCCUGCUUUUCUUUGUUCCCUGUCGCCCCCAUCGUCGCGUUGGCAUUCUCCGGUGUGCAUCCCGGCGGCGGUUUGCAGCAGCCUACCUGUUUUGUUCCCCCGUCGCCAAAAUAUGAAAUAUUUGAACAAUUAGUGACAGUUUAAGCUGUCGCUAAAGGAUUACUUGAUAGACAAGCAUUUUUCAAUUAAUUAAUGGAUUAUAUUGCGUGCCAUGUGUAGGCUUGGCAAUGGGUCGGUUACAGGGCGGUUACACCCUAACCGUUGCCCGUUAAAUUUGCCCACGGUUUUACCCAUAACCGCCCCAUUAUGCCUAAUGGGUAAAAUUUUGUUACCAAAUCCAUUUUGAUAUGGAUUUCGGUUAAACCCGUGGAUAUCGGGUUUGUCCAACAAAUUGUCAAAAUCUGAAAAUUAAAAAAUCUCAAAUGAAAACCUGGCAAUAAAUAUCAUCAUUCAUCCCAUUGACCAAUUCCCAGUCUCAUACUGUAUUUACGAGUUCAGUUGAGGGUUUAGCAGUUUAUUAAGGGCUUACUUAAAAGUUUAGUAAUGCUUAACAGUUUAUUAAGGGUUUAACAAAUUUAGUUAUAGAGUUUAGGGUUUACGAGUUCAGUUGAGGGUUUAGCAGUUUAUUAAGGGCUUACUUAAAAGUUUAGUAAUGCUUAACAGUUUAUUAAGGGUUUAACAAAUUUAGUUAUAGAGUUUAGGGUUUACGAGUUCAGUUGAGGGUUUAGCAGUUUAUUAAGGGCUUACUUAAAAGUUUAGUAAUGCUUAACAGUUUAUUAAGGGUUUAACAAAUUUAGUUAUAGAGUUUAGGGUUUACGAGUUCAGUUGAGGGUUUAGCAGUUUAUUAAGGGCUUACUUAAAAGUUUAGUAAUGCUUAACAGUUUAUUAAGGGUUUAACAAAUUUAGUUAUAGAGUUUAGGGUUUACGAGUUCAGUUGAGGGUUUAGCAGUUUAUUAAGGGCUUACUUAAAAGUUUAGUAAUGCUUAACAGUUUAUUAAGGGUUUAACAAAUUUAGUUAUAGAGUUUAGGGUUUACGAGUUCAGUUGAGGGUUUAGCAGUUUAUUAAGGGCUUACUUAAAAGUUUAGUAAUGCUUAACAGUUUAUUAAGGGUUUAACAAAUUUAGUUAUAGAGUUUAGGGUUUACGAGUUCAGUUGAGGGUUUAGCAGUUUAUUAAGGGCUUACUUAAAAGUUUAGUAAUGCUUAACAGUUUAUUAAGGGUUUAACAAAUUUAGUUAUAGAGUUUAGGGUUUACGAGUUCAGUUGAGGGUUUAGCAGUUUAUUAAGGGCUUACUUAAAAGUUUAGUAAUGCUUAACAGUUUAUUAAGGGUUUAACAAAUUUAGUUAUAGAGUUUAGGGUUUACGAGUUCAGUUGAGGGUUUAGCAGUUUAUUAAGGGCUUACUUAAAAGUUUAGUAAUGCUUAACAGUUUAUUAAGGGUUUAACAAAUUUAGUUAUAGAGUUUAGGGUUUACGAGUUCAGUUGAGGGUUUAGCAGUUUAUUAAGGGCUUACUUAAAAGUUUAGUAAUGCUUAACAGUUUAUUAAGGGUUUAACAAAUUUAGUUAUAGAGUUUAGGGUUUACGAGUUCAGUUGAGGGUUUAGCAGUUUAUUAAGGGCUUACUUAAAAGUUUAGUAAUGCUUAACAGUUUAUUAAGGGUUUAACAAAUUUAGUUAUAGAGUUUAGGGUUUACGAGUUCAGUUGAGGGUUUAGCAGUUUAUUAAGGGCUUACUUAAAAGUUUAGUAAUGCUUAACAGUUUAUUAAGGGUUUAACAAAUUUAGUUAUAGAGUUUAGGGUUUACGAGUUCAGUUGAGGGUUUAGCAGUUUAUUAAGGGCUUACUUAAAAGUUUAGUAAUGCUUAACAGUUUAUUAAGGGUUUAACAAAUUUAGUUAUAGAGUUUAGGGUUUACGAGUUCAGUUGAGGGUUUAGCAGUUUAUUAAGGGCUUACUUAAAAGUUUAGUAAUGCUUAACAGUUUAUUAAGGGUUUAACAAAUUUAGUUAUAGAGUUUAGGGUUUACGAGUUCAGUUGAGGGUUUAGCAGUUUAUUAAGGGCUUACUUAAAAGUUUAGUAAUGCUUAACAGUUUAUUAAGGGUUUAACAAAUUUAGUUAUAGAGUUUAGGGUUUACGAGUUCAGUUGAGGGUUUAGCAGUUUAUUAAGGGCUUACUUAAAAGUUUAGUAAUGCUUAACAGUUUAUUAAGGGUUUAACAAAUUUAGUUAUAGAGUUUAGGGUUUACGAGUUCAGUUGAGGGUUUAGCAGUUUAUUAAGGGCUUACUUAAAAGUUUAGUAAUGCUUAACAGUUUAUUAAGGGUUUAACAAAUUUAGUUAUAGAGUUUAGGGUUUACGAGUUCAGUUGAGGGUUUAGCAGUUUAUUAAGGGCUUACUUAAAAGUUUAGUAAUGCUUAACAGUUUAUUAAGGGUUUAACAAAUUUAGUUAUAGAGUUUAGGGUUUACGAGUUCAGUUGAGGGUUUAGCAGUUUAUUAAGGGCUUACUUAAAAGUUUAGUAAUGCUUAACAGUUUAUUAAGGGUUUAACAAAUUUAGUUAUAGAGUUUAGGGUUUACGAGUUCAGUUGAGGGUUUAGCAGUUUAUUAAGGGCUUACUUAAAAGUUUAGUAAUGCUUAACAGUUUAUUAAGGGUUUAACAAAUUUAGUUAUAGAGUUUAGGGUUUACGAGUUCAGUUGAGGGUUUAGCAGUUUAUUAAGGGCUUACUUAAAAGUUUAGUAAUGCUUAACAGUUUAUUAAGGGUUUAACAAAUUUAGUUAUAGAGUUUAGGGUUUACGAGUUCAGUUGAGGGUUUAGCAGUUUAUUAAGGGCUUACUUAAAAGUUUAGUAAUGCUUAACAGUUUAUUAAGGGUUUAACAAAUUUAGUUAUAGAGUUUAGGGUUUACGAGUUCAGUUGAGGGUUUAGCAGUUUAUUAAGGGCUUACUUAAAAGUUUAGUAAUGCUUAACAGUUUAUUAAGGGUUUAACAAAUUUAGUUAUAGAGUUUAGGGUUUACGAGUUCAGUUGAGGGUUUAGCAGUUUAUUAAGGGCUUACUUAAAAGUUUAGUAAUGCUUAACAGUUUAUUAAGGGUUUAACAAAUUUAGUUAUAGAGUUUAGGGUUUACGAGUUCAGUUGAGGGUUUAGCAGUUUAUUAAGGGCUUACUUAACAGUUUAGUAAUGCUUAACAGUUUAUUAAGGGUUUAACAAAUUUAGUUAUAGAGUUUAGGGUUUACGAGUUCAGUUGAGGGUUUAAUAGUUUAUUAAGGGCUUACUUAACAGUUUAGUAAUGCUUAACAGUUUAUUAAGGGUUUAACAAAUUUAGUUAUAGAGUUUAGGGUUUACGAGUUCAGUUGAGGGUUUAAUAGUUUAUUAAGGGCUUACUUAACAGUUUAGUAAUGCUUAACAGUUUAUUAAGGGUUUAACAAAUUUAGUUAUAGAGUUUAGGGUUUACGAGUUCAGUUGAGGGUUUAAUAGUUUAUUAAGGGCUUACUUAACAGUUUAGUAAUGCUUAACAGUUUAUUAAGGGUUUAACAAAUUUAGUUAUAGAGUUUAGGGUUUACGAGUUCAGUUGAGGGUUUAAUAGUUUAUUAAGGGCUUACUUAACAGUUUAGUAAUGCUUAACAGUUUAUUAAGGGUUUAACAAAUUUAGUUAUAGAGUUUAGGGUUUACGAGUUCAGUUGAGGGUUUAAUAGUUUAUUAAGGGCUUACUUAACAGUUUAGUAAUGCUUAACAGUUUAUUAAGGGUUUAACAAAUUUAGUUAUAGAGUUUAGGGUUUACGAGUUCAGUUGAGGGUUUAAUAGUUUACUAUCAGAAUUCAUAAAGAAGAUAGAUUAUUAAGGGUACUAUUAGAAAGUAGACAGCCUAUUAAGGGGUUAACUUUAACAGUUUAUAAGGGUUUAACAAUUAGGUAGAGAGUUCAUGGGUUAUGAGUUCAAUUGAAGACAGUAUAAACUUGGUUCAGGCUGUUAACAAUCUAACAUAACACUUCUAAGUUCUAAACAAGUUCUAAAACUCUCAAAUGUUAUACCAUUACACAAUGUAAGCUUACCUCAGCAGUUGUAGAAACAGAUUGUUGUCUUGCCUCCUGAACAACGAUUUCAAAGUUCCACCCUGCCUCCUAAUUAGCACCAACUGUGUGACUUCCUCCUAAGCAGAAACAUACAUUUUAUUAUAAUACUGUACUUACAACAUUGCUAUGAAUCAAAGGAAAAACAACCACAAACCCUAUACUUAAACGUACCUAAACAGCGGAAUGAAACCAAUUUUGGCCCUGAUUCUAUAACUCUCUAGUCCAGAGCAGUAAUCUGAAACAUAUAACACUGCAAAUCAGAUUUUUCACAUAAUAACAGACACAAAACAUUCAAAGAGUCACAAAAGCCACAAACACAUUCACAAAAGCCACAAACACAUAAUAACAGAUAACUUACUGGUAUGAAAUGAAUCGGAAGGAAAAAUCCCAAAUUUGAUAAAUUAGGGUUUCUGUCUUCUGGAUUUUGUUCGACGAACUGCAUAUGAAGCAAUAAACCCAAAAAUUAGUAUACAAUUUAUACAUGCAGGGAUAAACAAAAAUAAGGAAUGGCAGAAUAAAAAACUUAUCUCGAUUUGGGGAAGGAAUCCUUUGCAUGCACGAUUCGAACCAGAUUUUUGCGGAUUGAAGGAGUUUUGUAGUUGAAUAUGGGUAGGUGAUGAUUAUAGUGGGGAUGGAUUCGAUGAAUAUCAACAGAAAAGGAAGAUUUGGGAGAAAAAUUAGGGUUUCAGUGGAGUUCUUUCGAGAGGAAGUCGGGAGAAAAUUCUGGAGAGAGGCUCAGAGGCGUGAAAAAAUGGCUGAAAUGAAACCCUAGUCUGAAAAUUUUGCUUUUAUACCCUAUAUCAAUACUACGUCGUUUUAACUCACGGAUUGGAUAUGGGUCGGAUAAGUUAUUAUCCGUAUCCGCCCAUUACCCGAAACUCGCGGGUCACGGGCCUGACCGAAACCGGUAAACAUCCAUCGGGCCCAGACUUUCGGGCUGUAUUCGCGGGCGGGCUCCACUGGGUAACCUAAACCCGUGGGCUGACUGCCAAGCCUAGCCAUGUGUCGCCUUUAAAUUGGCCGUUAUACCAAUUUUAGUUUACUUUUGAAAAUUAAUACCUUGAACCCUCUAUCUAGACAAUCUAAUUAAAUUCACUAUAUGAUAAAAAUCUCGAAAAGAAAUCACGGUUAAACCGAAACACUAUACUUAAAACCUUCCACAUCUCAAGACCUACCCACACACACAAGUAUUACAACACCAAUUUGAAAAAAUACAUGACAUUCGAUACAUUUUACUUCAUAAAUGUACACAUGAUUAUAGUUUCAGACCCUAAUGAGUUAUCCAUCAUCUACAAAAAUUCGACUCUCACAUUAUUCUCCACCACCAUGUACAAAUGCAAAACCGAACUCAAAUGUCUAACCAAUUUGUAUCACCAUCAAAAAAUAUUGUAUAAAAAGGUAUAAAAGAAGUAAGAAAAGCUCAUGAGCUUAAUUACCAGUAAAUGAGCCAAAACGUCAACAAUUUUCUCCAAUUUUUCUAAUCUAUAGCUUUGGUGUUCCACGCCGUUUGUUAACUCUGUUAGUAAAUACAGAUUCUUCUUCAACUAUUAAUUAGCAUUUUACUCCAACGUUAAUCAACUAAUUUCAAUACAAAACUCCACUCCCAAAAAUUAAUUUCGAAGGUAAACUUUUAUUUUACCGAGUUGAAGGUAAAAUUUAAUUAUUAACCUGUGAAAAGAAUUUGCUUAGUAAUUCUUGUAUGCCACCCAUCACUUUCGUCGCCGUCCUUAAAGCUUCCUCGAUCGAUCCCUUUGGAUUUUUCGAAUUAUUGAAACUUUUAUUAUAAAAAUGUACAAAGAAUAUAUAAAAACCUUGAUUAUUAUUAUUAUCCAAUUAAAAAUUGUUAAGUCUACCUUCUCAGAAGCAGGACCGAGUUUCCGAGUCACCCGAUUGACUGCCUCAACGUUCUUCCUUUCCGUUUUCUACCACUCGAUCGGUAGAGUUAGUUGCCAACUCAUUAUCCGACUCAGCUUCUCCUCUACCUUCAUCCUCUGAAUCUCCAUUACCCUUUUCCUCUUCUGCCAAAUCGUAAGCCACGCGUGGAUCAGCUUCGCACGUGUGGCAAGCUCCCUCACAUUUGCAGCUGCUUCUGCCUUCGCGUUCGCGAAUCUUCACUGGAUUAACGUACCGUUCACAACUUCGAAAUUCCGCCGCCGCCGCUCCCCUCGCCGACGCAGCUACUCGAUCCGCGCUCACUCCUUCCCUCCCUCCCUUGUCUUUGGAGACUUAAUAAGCCACUACAAAUAUUAAUUACUGAAAUUUCCUGUGAUAAAUUCAUCUUGUCGUCGUAAAAACUAAUCAAAACCUUAUUUAAUUAAACUCUUUUUUGUAAUUGUAUUAAUGUCUAGUUGAAAGCCAGGUAUAAUAUAAUUAUUUUACAAAAAAGGUAUAUUAUAAUUAACUUCAUUACAAAAAAUAAUCAUAGCUGAAAUUUGAUUUAAUUAAUUAAAUUAAAUUACACAUGAUGCAAAAGAAGUAAACCCUAACCCCUAGCGCACGUCAAUCACUCCGACGAUGACUUCUUGCUACCUUCCUUCUUCCUCACGCAACAUAUAACGUAGUCCUCGAUACCACCACCACACCUGUCCGCCAAAACCCUACCAAGACGAUACUCAUGCAUCACCCAUUCCCCAGCCUCCGAAGAAGAACUCGAACUCGAACCACCACCGUGAUUGAUGACCUUGUAAGAGAAAGACCUAUCGAAACCGAUGGUGGUGGACUCACCGUCGGUGCUGUAGACUAUAGGCUCCUCCUUCUGCGACUUCCACACGCAGUUUCCGAAGCUCCUCUCGACUCGCUUGCCCUUCUCGUUCUUCUUCUUCCGCUUGGUAAAGAAGUAGAGCUCCGACUCGUUGACCUCGUCCUUGAAGUGUCUCUUCCAUGGCUCGUCGGGGGAGUAGAGGUCGCACUCGAUUAUACCGUCAAAGGGCGGAGGAGGGUGGUUGGGGUUGACGGUGGCUCUGAUGGCUAACGGGUAGAGGUAUGUGAGGAUUAGUUCUUGGUCCGAUGGUUUGAAUCGGUACCCUACUGCUAGGUUCUUGAUCUUCAUUCUUGCAGCAAGAUGCAAAUCAAGUAACUAGUUGAUUACUAGUGAUUAAUUAGGGAGAGUGAAGGUUUAGCUUAGGUUAAUUAGUGUGUUAGUUAUAUAUAGGGGUGCUAAUUAACUAGUAUUUGAUUAGGACUAGGACACGUGUAGACAUUUCAUUACUUGCUGGGUAAUCAAAUAACUAAUUUCCUUCACGUACGUACGCUGUACGAUAUGUAUUUUUAUUUGAGUGCGCAUUAUUUAUAAAUGGAUAACUUUUGAAAAAAUAAUUCAAAAAUACAACUUAAUUAGCAUAUCUUACUCAGAAUGGUGAUUAGUGUCUUUUGAACUACAUCUUAAUUUAGAUUAAUGAGNNNNNNNNNNNNNNNNNNNNNNNNNNNNNNNNNNNNNNNNNNNNNNNNNNNNNNNNNNNNNNNNNNNNNNNNNNNNNNNNNNNNNNNNNNNNNNNNNNNNNNNNNNNNNNNNNNNNNNNNNNNNNNAGUUAAAAUGAAGUAAACUAGUGGAUCCAAAAAAUUUAAAAAUAAAUAAAUAACGGAGAAUUACCAUUUUCUUCUCCGUGAGAUUACGACAUUUAUAAUAGUUAGAGUGAUUUAAAAAAAACGUAGGCCGGCGAAUAGUACGCCUCGGGAUGAGCGGGGGAGAAGAAAAUGACAAUUCUCCGUUAUUUAUUUAUUUUUUACUUUUCAAGAUCCACUAGUUUACGUCAUUUUAACUUGGCGACGUGCUAGAUCUUAAAAAACCUACAAUAAUAGAUAAGUGUAUGUAAAAUACUACUAUAAUGGCAUCUUAUGCAGAAUCUUAAAUAUAAUGAAAUUCGGUGCAAUAACGCAAGACUGUAGUAGCAUGUGCCGCAUUUUACUCAUGAACUUUCAUAAUUUCAUUUGUCUUACUUAUGGAUAUUUAUGUCAUUUUUAUUUCAAUUUUUAAUUUAAUUAUUUUUCAAAUUAAAAUCUCUCUAAAUCAACCAUCCAAAACAAUUUAUUUUUCAAAAUAACACGAGUUUCAAAUUCCGUAAUAAUUUAGAAGGAAGACGAGGUGGUUAAAUAGGAGGGGAGGAGAUGAAAAUAGAAGGAGAAAAUUCAAUGGAGAGUGGCAGAGCCAUUGACAAUUGGAGGCAUGUGGUCAAAUGGAAACAUAGCGCGGUCUACAUUGUUCAAAAAAGAUGAGAGCCACGUAUAUUUUUGCGUGGGUAACUUCUCAAAGUGGAAUAUUGAUUGAGUUCGUGCACUAUAUUUAAAGGAGGAAGACGAAAGUAGAACGAGAAAGGCUGAUGAGAGUGCAUGCCCCAUUGAUCAUUAGAGGCAUGUAUCUAUGUGCUCAAAUGAAAUCUAGCGAGGUCUAUAUUGUUCGUAACGAGUGGAAAUGUAGGGGAUUCAACUCUGUACUUUUCGCAUGUAAAACGAAAUGCUCUAUUAUUUAAAGCUUAAUUUAAAAUAAACGAAAAUCAAUUUGAGGAUUUAUAAAGAUCGUUAUUGAAAAAAUAUGACGAUAGAUAUCAUAUUAUUAUUAUUAUUUACGUAAUUAAUAGUUAUCUCAUGGGGAAUUAAUUAUUAUCAUAUACAUUAUACGGAGAGAGAGUAAAGUAGGGUUCAUGAGGCUCUUGCGUUACAUUUAUUAAACUCCCUCCCCCCUUCCGCCCAACAACUCACCCUCCCCCCCCUCACACCAACUCCUCCCCAUUCUCUACAUCACUCUUCCUUUUUCUUUCUUUCCAUCUCAGAAAAACAAAACAAAAAAUCUUCCGCCGCUAUCAACGACGACGAUGGAGAAUACCACAUCACAUUCAACACCGACGAUGUUGAUCAUGGCCGCCGCCGCCCUCCUCUUGUUUCUUUCCUUCUUCUUGUCCGCCGUCGAAUCCUCAUCGUCGCUAUCAGCUUCUAGUAAUAAACCUACUACAUCACCACCACCACCGGUCCGCCGCCAGCUCUCCGCAACAACCGCCGCGGAUUCUUCCUGCAGCACCGCUGUGUGCAUGGAGCUUCGAAAAAUGAUAAAGUCCCGACGUCAACAAGCUGGCCGCCGUGAGAACAAGAGCUACACCGCCGGCGAGCAUCAAGAUCGUCAAGAACAAGACAGCGGCGGGGGAGGAGGUGGAGAGAUAGACAUGAGGUACGGCGUUGAGAAGCGGUUGGUCCCUUCCGGCCCAAACCCUCUCCACAACUAGCUAGAAGAAUCAAACUCCGAGAAUCUCCUAUUUCCCGGUCGAUGGUAAACGACGUCGUAUUAUUAGCCUCAAACAACACUGUCCAUAUUAUUUGUUUCGUUUCGUACUUUUUUUGUCCUUUUCCUUCCAGAAAUCCGGUGCGGCGUCGUUUAUGAUCAACCGCGGUGAACUGAUCUAGCGUAUAGAGAGUAUUAUGAAGAUCACUUGGUUUCUGAUGCUUCUUCCAUUUCUUGUUUGGCUUCGCAAAGAUAUUAAUUAAAUUGUUUUUUUUAUAUAAUUAAUAUAUUUUUAUCAGGGGGAAAUUCAAAUGGUGGUGGAAUUUAAUUAUUAUUAUUAUUAUUAUAUAUAUAUAUAUGGGUUCAAGAGAUACUCAUGAAUUUCAUUAAUUUGUCGGCUGGCUCCCCCUUAAUUCUCUUUUAUUUUUUGUUGCCCUUAUUCCAUGGUAUGCAUGUGUGCAUUAAAUUUGCCGACUUCAGUAGUAAGUUUGUCACCUUCACCGUAUUUACUUCCUCCUUCAACCUCCCUAUUCUCCGACUCUUUCUGUCCAUCAAGCUAAGUGUACGUACACACAUAUAUACAGUCGCCCAUGCAUGUGGGAGGUGUGUAACCGAUUGAUGGUAAUUUGGUGUCACGAGUUACCACCUAGAUCAUUUGACGGUUAACAUGAUCGUGGCAGUAAGCAUUUCGUGAUGUAUAAUAUAUAAUCGAAGGUUAGCAAAUAUGUAUUCCGUUAGUUCAAAAAUUGAACAAGCAUAUAUCCCACGUGCCAUACUCUUUUCAUUCCACCGUUUAAUUAAUAGUAGUUAGACCACUAAUUAUAGUACUAUAAUAAAUAUUGCACCUGCCACUUGGUGAUUAACCGUUUACCUUAACGACCAUAUGGUCAAAUUUUUAUCAUAUUUCGGUUAUGAUUUGUUUUCCAAUAAUGUAGUUUCGAUGGUUGGGGAUAAUAAGAUGUCAAGAUAGAAAAGCGAGUACAAACUAAGUAUAUAUAUACCAACCCAAGUAUAUUUUUAUUUGAUAGAUAUCUAAUUAAGAGUUUAUCUUACUUUAAAGUACUCUGACACUUUAUUUUGUUCAAUUAGUGAAGAAAUUCAAGCCCUCGAAGAAAGUAGUAAGCUCAACCAAUAUUGCUUCAUCCGACAAGUAGCUGACUAGCUUAGACCACCACCGAGAGACUACUAACUUUGUAUUAUCUUUUACUAUCCACUAGAACCUAACCAGAUACGAAGAGCACAAACGACAAGUAAGAAAAAAAUUUCAAUACAAAUCACAUAAUAUGGGAGGCUAUUUGAAUUCUGAACUAUCAAUUUAAUAACGGCACAAUAUAAAGAAAGAACCACCCUCACAACUCGUUCCACCCCACCCACAUGUUUAUAAUUGCAAAAAGAUUAUGAAUGUUAAUUGUAACACAACUCAUGUCAAUAAGUGGCUAACAAGUAACAAAGAAAAGGAUACAAAAUAUGUGGAAAACAAAAUAAAAAAGUAUUCAAAUCUAAAAUCUUUUUGUAAAAAAAAAAAAGUAUUCAAAUGCUAUUUGAUUCUCACUAGUAGCAGACAGUUGAUCGGAUCUUCCUCUGGGAAAGACCACCAAAAAAAUGGCGCGUCAUCUCCUUCUCUUCCUCCUCAUCGGUCUCCUCCACACUAUCGCCCUCUCGAAAACCCUCAAACGCGACGGUAAAUGACUGAAUUCACCAGAUCUGACCUCCUCCGCCGCGGCGGAUUGAACGGAUAUAAACUGAUUUCAUUUCGAUGCAGUGAAGGCACUGAACGAGAUCAAGUCGUCACUGGGAUGGAGAGUUGUGUACGCCUGGGUAGGAGACGACCCUUGCGGCGGCGACGGCCUCCAGCCUUGGUCCGGCGUCACCUGCUCCACUCAGGGAGAUUACAGAGUCGUCACCGAAUUGUAAAGUUUGUGAACAGUGUAUACCUUAAGUUCUUCCCGCCUAUGGGGUUUGAAUGGUGAGUGAUUGAUGCUUUUGUUUUGUAUUGGUAGGGAAGUGUAUGCAGUGUCGAUUGUCGGUCCAUUUCCUACUGCGGUGACGAAUCUGCUGGAUCUCACCAGAUUGUGAGGCUCCUUCUUGCCUUUGCAUUUUCACUUCAUUGUAUUAGAGUUUAUGUUUUCUGAAUGUUUGAUGCUGAAUAGGGAUUUUCAUAAUAACAAGCUGACAGGGCCGAUCCCUCCUCAAAUUGGGAGGUUGAAGCGUCUCAAGAUACUGUAUAGCCCCUUGCCUUGCUUGAUUGCUUUCUGUUUUUAGCCAGUUUUGAUUGGAUUCAUGGUGUGAAGUUGUGUUUCUAUCUUAGGAAUUUGAGGUGGAACAAGUUGCAAGAUUCACUUCCUCCUGAAAUCGGCGAGCUUAAGAGUUUGACACAUUUGUGAGUUGAUCAUUCAUUCGUUUGACACAAUAAUGUGAUUGUUUACGCCGAUUUCAAGUUGAUGUUAAUAUGGAAAAUGUUGUUGGAAGGUAUUUGAGCUUCAAUAAUUUCAAAGGAGAGAUUCCAAGGGAGCUAGCUAAUCUUCCCGAGCUUCGAUAUCUGUACUUGCAAGAGAAUAGGUUCUCGGGGAGAGUUCCUGCAGAAUUGGGAACGUUGCAGAAUCUUCGCCACUUGUAUGUAGUAACCAUCCCAUCUUCUCUGUUGAUUCUUGCUGUGUUAUGGCCUAGGGGUGUAGCCCUUUUAUCCAGUUUUCGGUAUGUGUAGGGAUGUUGGCAACAAUCAUUUGGUGGGUACUAUAAGAGAACUAAUCCGGAUUGAGGGUUGUUUCCCUGCGCUUCGCAACUUGUAAGUUCAUUUCAUCCUCACCAUGGGGAGCCUGUGAGUUGCUAAUGUGAGAUUAUUUAACGUGACUGAUUGCAUUUGUGUUCUUGUUUCUCUAGCUAUCUGAACAAUAAUUAUUUUACCGGAGGAGUCCCUACGCAGCUAGCUAACUUGACAAACUUAGAAAUCUUGUAAGCUUCCGUGCAUUCUUUCCGUUUUCUUUCUUCUGUAAAUUCCUUGAACAAUUCUCUUUCCAUGUCCGCUCUCCCUCAAAGAUUAUCUUCAAGUUCUAUGUGUCCUGUUUUCUCUUACCUUAAUACGUUUCUGGCAGGCACCUAUCCUAUAACAAGAUGACUGGAGUAAUACCCAUUGGACUUGCUUCCAUCCCGAAGUUGACAUAUCUGUAAGUUUCUUCAACGAGUUUUAGUUCCUUCAUUUCCAUCAGAUUACCGUUUGAGAUCACUGAAUCUAUAACACUUACAGGUACAUCGAAGGAAGCUCGUUCAAGCCUGGCGUAAAUCCAAUAGGCAUGCACAAAGUCUUCGAAGUAUCUGAUGCAGAUUUUGUAGUUUAAAAACCCUUAGCUAAUUUUUUGUACUCUAAUUUAUUUCACACUUUCUCUGUUACAAGCCUAUACAUAGAGAGAGUUGAUGCUGUUAAAUGUAUGGAACACAACCCAAAAUCAUGCUAAAAGCCAUUGUCUAGUAGUUCUCAUCAAUGUUUUGAAUAUAGCACCUGAAGGUUCGGUCGGUUCUAGCAUCGUUCAAUUAGGGUUUAUAAUAGUUUGAACAAUCGAACUGCAUACGGUUAGUUUUAGUGAUACUAUCUUCGGUAUGGUUCUGGAGAUCAUUGUUCUAACUGCUAAUCCUUCAUUCAUUGUGCUAAGCUUUCACAUUUCAUGAUAUGGAACUGUUCGUAAAACCACAAAUUUUACCAUCGUUUUAAAAAAUCGCACCGAAAUGGAUAGUUUGACUUGUCUGAUCUUAAACCGCUCAUAAAAAUAGUCUGGCACGAUCCAGAUAUAUCAAAGUUAAAGACUUUAAUUUGUAACCUAUUAAAUGGUUGAACCACAUUUGAAAAACGUUCUUUCCAACCCAAUCCAAAUUCCUAAAGCAUCCUAAUAUACAAAAUUAAAUGAUAAUAUUCCUUGAAAUAAACUUAAGUGGCCGCUUUAAUUACCAUCCAAUAGUUAAGUAUAGUUAAUUUAUGAUUAGAUAAAUCAAACCAGGCCGUUAUUUCAGUUCUGUUUCUUGUCGGGUUUUCUAAUCACUUGUCCAUUUUUAACUAACCUCCAUUUUCUUUUCAGAUUUUCUCCCUUUCAUUUCUUCUUCUUCUUUCCUCUUCAGGCUUCGUGUUCCUCCACAGAGCCUAACAGGAACGAGGAAUGUGAUCUCAUCAAAAUUAAAUUUUCAGAUUUAUCAAAACUACGAUGUCGAGUUUCAAUGUUCUUCUCCUUCUCUGUUCAAUCAUCCUAUCAAGUUUCUUCACCCUAUCGUACUCUGAUCAUCCUCACUAUGAAGAUGUCCACCAUGCUCACCACAAGAUGAAGGACCCGGAUGAAAUCACCGUCACGAUCAAAUCAGGCGCCGCUGUAUCCCACACUGCCGACGACUACGUCUGCGCAACUCUCGAUUGGUGGAGGAAAGACAAAUGCGAUUACCGACACUGCCCGUGGGGAAACGCUGGAAUUCUUGAUGUGGUAAUGUGUUUGUAACGGAAAUGUCUUUAUUAUUGGGUGAUCUUCGGGAACUGAUUCGUUGAUUUUGGUUUGAAUCAUGCAGGAUCUUAACAAUACACUUUUGGCCAAAGCUAUCAAGGGUAAGUAAAAAGUUCUGGGAUUUUUUUUCAGUCACCUUUAAGAUGUUCGAUGAAAUGCCUCAAUGAGGAAAUAAUUGCCCAUUUUUUAUGUGUUGUGUGUAGCGUUUGAUCCGUUGAGGCUUAGAGUGGGAGGAUCAUUGCAGGAUCUGGUGACUUAUGAAGUUGGAGGAGCUGUCGGUAUUCAUCCCAGCUUCGUGAAGGACAAAGAUGUGAUGCUUGGGUUCAAACCGGGGUCUCUUCCCAUGAAAAGAUGGGACGAGCUUAAUGAAUUCUUCGCUAAAACUAAGUGAGUUGUUCAUAAAUUAGAAAACUAUAAGUAAUUUUCUUUCUCUACCUAACCAAGUUGAUUGCUUUUGUUUGUAGUACCAAAGUAAUUUUUGGUUUGAAUGAGCUCUCUGGCAAGAAAAAGGAAAACCCGUCGACGACUCAAAUGGUAGGAGACUGGGACCCUACUAAUGCUCGCGAUUUCAUGAACUACACUGUUCAAAAGGGAUACAAGAUUGAUGCCUAUGAAUUGGGUACGUCUUCAUCAUAAAAGUAUUAAAAACUAUGAUCUUCUAUUGAUGGGUGAUGACAUUGAUUGAUUGCUCACAUCUUUUUAUAGGAAAUGAGUUGUGUGGUGAUGGAGUAGAUGCUAAGAUAGAUCCGGAGCAGUAUGCAAAAGAUACUAAAGAGCUAAGGAAAGUCUUGAAUGAAUUGUACCCGGAUCCUAAGUCCAGGCCCCAAGUUCUGGCUCCUGGAGGUUUCUUUUUCAAGGAAUGGUUCAAAACCUACCUUCAUGCUUGCGGACCAAACGUUAUCGAUGGCGUAACCCACCAUGUCUACAAUCUUGGAACUGGUAAAAUUUUCGAAAUUGUUAGCUCUUAGAGUGUUUGAUAUCCAAUGGUUGCUUUGGCUGGACCAUUGAUUGUGAAAGUUUGUGCCUUUUCUUUAUCAGUGCUUUAUACCCAUCUGUUUCUGUAUUCAUUAAACACCAACCUUUGAAAAUUUCCAGGUGGUGAUCCGAAGAUAAUAGACAGGAUUCAAGAUCCACAUUUCCUGAGCGAGGUAGUUCAGCUGUACAGGGACGUUCAGGAAGUAGCGGAGCAGUCUGGAUCAGGAGCAUCUCCUUGGGUCGGAGAGGGAGGCGGAGCUUACCUAAGCGGUGGUAUAAAUGUUCAAUCCACUUUCGUUGAUGGAUACUGGUACUUGGAUCAGCUUGGCUUGGCCGCAGUUCACAGCCAUAAGGCCUACUGCAGACAAGCCAUUGUUGGUGGAAACUACGGCUUCCUCAAAAACGACGUCUUUACCCCUAACCCUGAUUACUAUGGGUACCUUAACAUUUCGAUAGUAUCUUCAUAGAUCUUUCAACCUUAUUUGAGCUUUAGACUCACUUUCACAUUCUGCAUUUUGAUAAUCAGUGCACUAUUAUGGCAUCGGUUGAUGGGGACCGGAGUUCUAGCAACCAGCCACAACGGAUCUCCAUUCCUUAGGGCAUAUUCACAUUGCUCUAAGAAGAAGGUAUUGAUAUCUAAAGCCAGUUUUUCAACAUUCAAAUAUCUGCGUCUAACCAUUAGAAAAAUCCUGACAAGACAUUGUUUCUGGGUUUUGCUUUCUUUUUGGGCAGUCUGGAGUUACUCUGAUGCUGAUCAACAUGUCGAAAACUUCGACAUUCCAUAUCAUGAUCACCGACGAAUUGAACAACCACCACAAGGAUUCUGAUUCAAGCCAUCUCAAAGAGGAAAGAGAGGAGUACCAUUUGACACCAGAAGGAGGAAAUAUCACGAGCGAUGUCGUUCUUCUGAACGGAGUUCCGUUGCAGCUUACAGCUUCCGGUGACAUCCCGGAAAUGCCUCCGAAGCUUGCCCCAGCUUCAUCUCCGGUGACAAUGGUUCCUGGCUCUUUUGUUUAUGUAUCCAUUAAGGAUUUCAAGGCCCCUGCCUGCUGAGAAAGACCAGAGCUUUUUGGUCUCUUUUUGGAUUUCUUGGUUCCUUAUAAAAGGUGGUAAAGAAAACUUGAUCUACAAGUUAACUUCCAUUUUGUAACCUAAGGUCUCUGAUGAGGUUAAUCUAAUGGAAUAGAAAAAUAUUCUUUAAUUAAUAUAUAUUAUUGUAUAAAAUUCAUUAAGCAUGCUUACAUUUGUUAUUUAUUGAGUAAUUAUCAAUGAUAAUGUUGGAUAAUCUUUUUCACUUAAAAACCUGAUAUCACUCAAGGUAACUAAAAAUCUUAUCCACCUGAUUCACUUUUACAUUCCGUUUCAACAAAGUCCGACAAAAUCAUAGGCUUAUCCAAAUAACAGAUUUCAUAGCAAACAAUAACAAUAAAAUCUCUUGCUGAGCUAUAUAUAUAUCCACUGUACACACACACUUAGUUUUCUUCAAUACUCUGUGUUUCCUUUUCUGAUUCUACAAUGGCAGCAGCUUUCAGAGCUUUCCUCGUCUACUCACUCUUCCGCUCGACCCUCUCAGUGCUAUGCUCCGCUGACACUUCUAGGAUCACCGUCACGAUACAGUCAGUGAACUCCAUAGCGAAAACCGACAAUGAUUUCAUCUGUGCAACUCUAGAUUGGUGGCCCAAGAACAAGUGUGACUACAACCAGUGCCCUUGGGGACAAACCAGCGCCCUGAAUCUGGUAUAUAUGCCGGCUGUUCAUUUCCUUUUCGGUUGUUCUUAAUUGGGUUUUCGGUUCUGAUUAAUGGGUUUUGGUUGAAAACAUAUUUCAGGAUCUGAAGAACACCAAUCUGGCAACAGCUAUCAAAGGUAGGUAGAAAGUUCAUUGCUUUGAAAGCUUCCUUCAUCAAAGCUGUGAUCUAAUUAAUGUUGGUUUGUAGCUUUCGAUCCGUUGAGGAUUCGGGUUGGGGGGUCGUUGGAGGAUCUGGUGGUUUACAAAGUUGGGAAAGCGAUCAAGAGAUUCCCAAAGUUUAAGAAGCUGAAAGGUGGGAUGUUUGGGUUCAGCAGAGGUACUCUCACCAUGGAUAGAUGGGAUCAGCUCAAUCAGCUUUUCACCAAAACAAAGUAAUUAAGUUCAUACUAAUAAUCCGACUGUUAGUUACCAAAAAUGACGAAUCAUAUUAAAUCUGACGGUUUUUUACGAUUUCGUUGUAGUGCCAAAGUCAUCUUUGGCCUCAAUGCUCUGGUUGGGAAAAGAAAGAAAGAUGAAUCUUCCACUCUCUGGAUCGGAGACUGGAACUCGCAGAAUGCUCGAGAUUUCAUGAACUAUACCGUUCAGAAGGGCUAUAAAAUCGACUCUUACGAACUCGGUAGUUCUCUGAAACGAUUCUUGUACAGAUCAGUUUUUUUCUUCUUGUACUAUCAAACCUCGAACCGUUUAACAUUACUUUUUUGUCAGGAAAUGAGCUGAGCGGCUCGGGGGUUUCUGCUCGGGUGGAACCUGAGCAGUAUGCAAAGGACACAAUCAAAGUCAGGAAAGCUGUAAAUGAAUUAUAUCCAGAUCCCAAUUCCAGGCCUUUAGUAUUGGGUCCUGCCGGAUUCUUCGAUAAGGAAUGGUUCAAGAAGUACCUUCAAGCUGUUGGACCGAACGUUGUCGAUGGCGUAACCCACCACAUUUACAAUCUCGGCGCAGGUAAAAACGUUACGUACCUUCAGGAAUUAGUAUCGGCCUAUCGGGUUCAUAUCAUUAAUUACUGUUUUGCAGGAGUGGAUUCCAAGCUGAUUAAUAAGGUUCAAGAUCCGUUCUUUCUCGACAAAGUGGCUCAGACGUUCAAGGAAGUUCAGGAUAUUGUCGAGCAAUCCGGAACCGCUGCAGCUCCGUGGGUCGGGGAAUCGGGUGGAGCUUUCAACAGCGGUGGAAAGGACGUUUCAAACACUUUCGCUAAUGGGUUCUGGUACUUGGAUCAGCUCGGUAUGACCUCGACUUUCGGCCACAAGGCUUACUGCAGACAAUCCCUUGUUGGUGGAAACUAUGGAUUGCUUAGGAGUGAUAGUUUCACUCCAAAUCCCGACUAUUAUGGGUAACACAAAAAAGAUUCCGUCUUUUUGUUUUGUUUUUAUCUCGUAACUGUUGCUCUGAAUGUUCGGAUCGUUUGCUUUGUGAUAGUGCACUUUUGUGGCAUCGGUUGAUGGGGACCAUAGUGUUGAGAACGAUCCAUGACGGGUCUCCAUACCUGCGGGCAUACUCACAUUGCUCCAAGAAAAAUGUAAAGUAUCUUCAGGAUUUCUGAUAAUCCAAAUCCGGACAGGAAUAUGAUUUCUGAUUAUCUACAUUUUUUUUUAAUUUGUGGCAGUUUGGAGUGACUUUGCUGCUGAUCAACAUGUCGAAUUCGACGACAUUCAACGUUUGGGUGACUAACGAUCUGAACCUUUACCGGACAACGACCGAUUCGACCAUUCUGACAGAGGAUAGGGAAGAGUACCAUCUGACACCUGAAGGUGGGAAUAUUCAGAGCGAUGUUGUGCAGCUGAACGGGACUCCAUUGAAGCUGAGUUGUGGUGAGAUUCCGAUGAUGGAUCCGAAGCUCGUACCGGCUUCGUCCACGGUGACUGUUGCUCCGGAUUCGUUCGUUUAUGUCAACAUCAAGGAUUUCAAGGCACCUGCUUGCUAGAAAAGAAACAGAAGAGGAUAUGCUUUUCUUUUAGUUUAGUAGUUAGGAAAAGCUCAGGAAAAAUUGUUAGAUUAGAUCUAAUCGGCUAUGUAAAGAAUAAUCAUGAUCCAAUUGAAAUCGAAAAAUUGUUAGAGAUUCAAUUCCAUUCUUUUGUGAUGUUGUUGUUUUGGUCUUCUUCUGAAAGUUGGGUAAAGGGCAACUGUGCGAAAAGUUGUGAUUUUAAAAAACCAAAGAAAACAUGUUGGUUUAGUGGAUCGGACAUGUGUUGGGUCUGGUUAGUGAACUUGUGCUUAUGUUCUUAGAUUAGUCGCUAUGCAUGGUUGAACCAUUCUAUCAUGGUUCGAACACAUAGUAAAAUAAGUUAAAAGCAAUAACGGUCACUUAAGUUUGGGUUAGGUGACAUUUUUGUCACUCAAUAUAAGGCAGGUAACAUUUUCGUCACUCUAGUUUGAGGUAGGUAACAUUUCAAUCACUUAACUUUUUGCUUAAGUUUGGGAUAGGUAACAUUUGAGUGACUUUAGUUUGAGGUAAGUAACAUGUCAUUCAACUUUUUGCUCAAAUUUGAGGUAAGUAAUAUUUUCGUCACUCAAUAUAAAGCAUGUAACAUUUCAGUCACUCUAGUUUGAGGUAGGUAACAUUUCAGUCACUCUAGUUUGAGGUAGAUAACAUUUCAGUCACUCAACUUUUUGGUCAAGUUUUACAUUUCAGUCACUCAAUAUAAGGCAGGUGACAUUUCAGCCACUAUAGUUUGAGAUAGGUAGCAUUUCAGUCACUAAACUUUGUUUCUCAACUUCUGUUACAUAUUCCACCCAAAAAGUUAAUGUGACUAAAAGACUCAAUUUCUGUGUUUAUUUCAUCAGACCGAAUAGGAUACAUGGUUGAACCGUCUUAUUAUAGUCGAUAAAAAUUCAACCCCGGCUUGGUAAAAAAAAUGAAAAAAAUCAUCACUAUUUCAUUUAGGAAGAAGAGAAAAAACCAUGCUAACCCUGUUGUUCAAUCAAUAGGAUACCUUACCAUUUCAGGAACCAGUUAAUGUCACACACCAAACAUUCCUGAAACUGAAACCAAAAGCUUUCCAGGCUUUUGCCUCCAUUCUAUCCAAAAACCCAAAGGGCAAAGAAAAUGCUUUCUUUACUUGCUAGUUGAACCUAAUCCAUCCUUUAUGAAAUGUUUUCAGGCUCCAUCUUCAAAUAACCGAACCCCUUCCGUUAGAAAUCGACAGACAAUAAACGGAAUAAGAAAAAAACCACCAUCUCUUUUCGCAACAAAAUCGAUAAAAGAUUGUUUACAAUUCCAUGGGGAUUGAGCAAGCCAUUGCAGUAGCUGCAGCUGCAUUAGCCAUUUCUGUUAUUGAAGAAGUACAAGAAGAGGCAUGGAUUCCGGUUCCAGAGCCAAAAAGGACAUUGCAGGAAGCAGCAUCUCAUCAAUCCUCUGCCACCAAGAGUCAAGGUAUGCAAGGUGGUUUCCAAUCAAGUUCUGGAUCAAUAAGGUAUGUGGAAGGGGCCUCAUCAGAUAGCAAUGGAGAUGAUGGAACAACACCCCGAAAGGUCCUUGUUCCGAUUUCUUCGAUGGCUAGGACUGAUAAUCCUGCUGCAGCAGCAAUGAAGAAAGAUCCAAGCUUUAAUGAAACCCCUACUGUUUCAUCUAUAAAGAAGACACCUUCAUUUGUGGAUAAAACUGUUCCUAAUUCCAUGCCAACUUCCACCAAAGCUGGGAUUCCAUUGAAGAGACCUGAAGCUUCUUCUACUGCAAAACCUGCUGCAACUGGUAAGCCAGCUGGAACCCCAGUAUCUUCUUCCCAAGCAGCAGAUGCAUGGGAGAAAAUGCAGCUGGAGAAGCUGAAAGCGAAGUAUAAGCAGCAGACUGAUCACAUCAUUUCGUGGGAGGACGGGAGGAAGGCUAAAGCAAGGCGUCGACUCGACAGAGCUGAGGUUUGUUUUCUCCAUUACAUCCAAAUAAUUCGAACUAACAGAUUGUCUGAUAACAUGCUUGUUUCUUCUUCGUGUUGGAUGAACUUUUGGGCAGAGUGAAAUGGAGAGGAGCAGGCUGAGAGCAUUGGACAAGUUUCGGGGGGACAUGGAGAUAGUGAAUAAGAUUGCAGGAGGAGCAAAGGCGAAGACAGCUGAGAGGAUGAAGAAGGAAGAGGUUAAAUUGAAGGAGAAAGCUGAUGCUAUCAGAAGAACAAGUGGCAAAUUCCCAGCAAGAAGGCCUUGUUUAUGCAUCUGAUCAUAUUAUGUUUGACUAAUAAUCUGUUGUAAUAUAAUGUUUGUAGCACUUUGUUGUGUUCAGGAAAUGUGUAUGCAUCUGAACAUCCGAAAUUAACUCCAAAUCCUGCCAAAUUCACCUCCAAUUCCGACUUCGAAAACGUAUCCUAUGUCUAUAAUCAGUUCGAAAUGCCAGAUCCAGUAAUGAAAUGAAGAUAAACACCCUUCUGCAUAUAUAUAAUUAAGAACACUCCGACAGAUAAACCAGACACAAAUUACAUUACUACAACAGCAACAACACACCGAUCAUAAAGUUAAUUAAACUCCACAUAAUCCAUACUUAUAUUCCCCCACCAAUCCACCAUACACCUUAAUUAAUUAAGUUAUUAAUCACUUGAAGAACCCUUCAGCCAUCUUAGCAUACCCGCCAAGCCCACCUCCUUCAGAUUUCUCCUCCUUACCGGCGGCGCCUUCCUCGGCCGGCUUGCCGGCUCCCUCAGCGGUCUUCGAACCGCCGCUGUACUGACGGAGAUAUUCCUCCGCCUUGUCGACGUACUGGCCAUAGCCCUUCUCGUCCAGCUUCCCGUACUUGUUGCCGGCCUCGAUCAGGUCCUCCGCCGCGUCGGCCACCUUGGCCUUGUCUAUGCCGUCGGCCGAUUUGCUCUGCAUCGCCGACUGGGCAGCUGCCGCCACCACUUUUGCGCUCGCCAUCAGCUCCGCGUUCGACGGCGCCGCUACCUCUUCCUUCUUGUCGCCGGCCGGGGCCGGGGUCGGUGCUGAGGGGUGUUCAGUUUCCUUGUCGCCACCGGUGGCUCCGGGGAGCUUGGACUCGGCUGCCUUGGUGAUGGAGGAAAGUAGGCCGUCCAUAAUUAAUUCUAGAUGCCAAAGGAGAAAGAAAUUAAAGCAGAGAGAUUUGUGGGAAGUGACUGAGUGAUUGGAGAUUGGAGGAUACGGUGGUUUAUAUAAUGCUUAGGAUAUUUUUGGAUAUCUUGAUUUUUUUUUAUAAAUACGCGAGAUGGACACGUAUUACUUGUGAUAUACGUGUGUACUUGUAUUUUAUACAGUAAUAUACGUGUUGUUUGAGUCUAAAACCUCUCGACGAAUUAAAUCGCUCAUGAAUAGUUGUAUUUGAUGUGAAAUUUUUUUGUUCAUGAUGAGUCGGGUAUGUUUAAUCAAAUAGGUUUGAGUUCGAACAGAAAUAAUUUUGGAUAUAUGCUUUGUUAAUAAAUUUAAUAAUGUAAUGUAUGUUUGCCUCGAAUAUUAUAUAUAUAUAUAUAUAAUUUAUUAUUAUGUNNNNNNNNNNNNNNNNNNNNNNNNNNNNNNNNNNNNNNNNNNNNNNNNNNNNNNNNNNNNNNNNNNNNNUCGAUCGAUUCGUGAUCAGCCCGGCUAAUCACAAAAAAAGCUAUACCAUUUUUACAAAUUAAAAAAAACUAUUAUAUUAGUUAAUAUUGGAGUAGGGAGUGUUUGGCAGGAGUAAGAGUUGCGACGUGGAAGAAUGAUGGCCACAAGAAGUUUAGAAAGGUGGUGACUAUUGAGUAUAAAAGUAUUAUCUUCCUGCUGUUCCAAUAUCUAGAUAUCUUUAUGACAAAAAAUGGGACCAGAAAACACGAUAAUUGUUUUUAUUUGCCGACAAUAACUCUCCAAGUACUCAACUCCGUGAUUAAUACACACCAAUUCAAUUAUAUUUUAAGAAGUUAAUUUGAUGUGCCAAUUAUCGAUACAAAAAAGAGACAUUCUGGUGCACAGUAGAAACUAUUCAGGUGGUUUGUUUAGUUUUGUAAAGAAAUUAUUAUGAACAAAUUCAUGGUUAGAUCCCUUAUGGAUAGUGGAUAGAUCAUUGAGAUUUUUGAAAGAGAAUUUGCAUCAUGUUCCGUGAGUAAUACACAUCGAUAUUUAUCAAUAUAAAAUAAAAAAAUAGAAAGUAAACAUUAUAUUGGUGUUUAUUUUGUGAAUUGUGUUGGAUUAGAAUUAAAAACUUUUAAAUUAUCACACACAUAAUUUUACCAUCAGAAUAAUUCCACUUCAAUACAUUGUAGUUGUUACGGUAAGGUUAAGUAAAAAUGAAAACCAAACUCUUAAUUUUAAUUUAAUCAUAUAGUUAAAGAAUUUCCAAAUAAGAAUAUGAACAAAAAUGUAAACAUCUAAUUCUAGCUAUUAUUCAAUUCCCAAAGCCACGUUACACAACAACACCAUCACAUGACUAACCACAAACAUAAACAGAAAAGAACCAGAUAGAAAAACAACAAGUACAACUGCAACAUAAUUAAUUAACACGCAGAUUUUUCAGCGGCGGGGAAUUAAACUAAAAUAAAAAAACAUGCAUAAUUAUUUUCAAUUUUCAUCCAUUUACUUCUUGGCAGUGGCGUUGUGGAUGGCCUGCUUCCCCUGCUCGACGUAGUGGGUGGUGCCGGCGACGACUGUGUCCUUAACGCCGAUCGCCCCCUCCUUGGUGUUGGCCACGAUCCCCGGGCCGGCCGGUGCAACCACGGCUGGCUUCUUCUCCUCGGCCUUGCCGCCGCCGGGCAUCAUGUCUUGGGCUUUCUUCAAUAGUCCGUCCAUAUCUAGUUAUAAACAAGUAGGAUUCAAAGAGAUGGGAAAUUGGUACGUAAGAGAUUUUAGUGUGUUUUGAUGGGUUUCAUGGGAUAUAUGGUACGUACUAGUUAUAUAGUGGUACAAAUUUUGGGAAGUUUGGAAGAUAUUUUGAUUGGCUUUUGCUGUGUGUGGCUUACAAUUGGCUUGCCGACAUCGAAAUGAACAGGUUCUACGUGAUAGUCUUUACA